RNAcentral lists this ribosomal RNA (374 nucleotides) under uncultured eukaryote. Its description in RNAcentral is "SSU rRNA". It matches the Rfam family "Eukaryotic small subunit ribosomal RNA", at positions 587 to 972 of the family's 1831-position model. The record is from RNAcentral.
AGCUCCAAUAGCGUAUAUUAAAGUUGUUGCAGUUAAAAGCUCGUAGUUGGAUUUCUGGCAGAGUGUUCUCCGGCCGGGCGAACCUUGGUCCGGAGCGCUCUACCAUCCUUCUGUUAACUAUCUUAUUCUUCAUUGAGUAAUUUAGGGCUCAGAUAUUUUACCUUGAGAAAAUUAGAGUGUUUCAGGCAGGCUUACGCCGGAAUACAUUAGCAUGGAAUAAUGGAAAAGGACUUCAACCUCUUCUGUUGGUCUGGGAGGCUGUAGUAAUGAUUAAUAGGGAUAGUUGGGGGCAUUAGUACUUAACUGUCAGAGGUGAAAUUCUCCGAUUUGUUAAAGACUAACUUAUGCGAAAGCAUUUGCCAAGGAUGUUUUCA